AACGAACGCUGGCGGCAGGCUUAACACAUGCAAGUCGAACGCCCCGCAAGGGGAGUGGCAGACGGGUGAGUAACGCGUGGGAAUCUACCUAGUUCUACGGAACAACAGUUGGAACGACUGCUAAUACCGUAUACGCCUAUGGGGAAAGAUUAUCGGAAUUAGAUGAGCCCGCGUAAGAUUAGCUAGUUGGUGGGGUAAUGGCCUACCAAGGCGACGAUCUUUAGCUGGUCUGAGAGGAUGAUCAGCCACACUGGGACUGAGACACGGCCCAGACUCCUACGGGAGGCAGCAGUGGGGAAUAUUGGACAAUGGGCGCAAGCCUGAUCCAGCCAUGCCGCGUGAGUGAUGAAGGCCUUAGGGUUGUAAAGCUCUUUCAGUGGGGAAGAUAAUGACGGUACCCACAGAAGAAGCCCGGCUAACUUCGUGCCAGCAGCCGCGGU
Molecule: ribosomal RNA, 440 nt
Filed under: uncultured bacterium
Lineage: Bacteria
Description: bacterial SSU rRNA
Rfam family: Bacterial small subunit ribosomal RNA
Source: RNAcentral